RNAcentral lists this unclassified non-coding RNA (220 nucleotides) under plant metagenome. RNAcentral's name for it is "partial contains small subunit ribosomal RNA, internal transcribed spacer 1, and 5.8S ribosomal RNA". The record is from RNAcentral.
UUUCCGUAGGUGAACCUGCGGAAGGAUCAUUACAGAGUUCAUGCCCUCACGGGUAGAUCUAACACCCUUGAAUAUUUAUACCUUAGUUGCUUUGGCAGGCCGUGGAAACACCAUGGGCUCCGGCUUAUGCGUGCCUGCCAGAGGAAACAAACUCUGUUUUUAGUGAUGUCUGAGUACUAUAUAAUAGUUAAAACUUUCAACAACGGAUCUCUUGGUUCUG